UUAAAACUUUUACACUUGGAAAAAAAGAGCGCCCGACCCAAAACUGAAACAUAAACCCUAACCUCAGUCUUGACCUCAAUUCUCAACCCAGAUUUGAGCUCCUCCUCCCCAAACUCGAGCUCCUUCUUCUCACCAUAACAAUCAUUCCUCCUCCAUUCUCCGGCGAAAUCUGAAGCACCGGGAGAGUCAAAGAAACGUAGACCCCGACAAUGUCGUUGAAACCUCAGCUCCCUCUCAGUCCCCACCUUUCUCCGCCUCCGACUGAGAUCAAUCAGCUUCUCAUCUCAGCAACAACGACACCGUCACCGUCACUGAUAGCACCGCCGCCACCUUGACUACCAAAAACGUCACAGUUUGGAACCCUGGGGGAUCCGCUCCUUCUACUCCUCUGGUUUCCUCCUUCGUUUCAGAUUUUGGGAUUAAGCUGUGAGUUGUUUGAUUUAUCUGCUCGGAGAGCAGUAGUUCGAGGAGUUGAAAGCCGAGUUUAAGGGGAAGAUUUGGCAUCCUAUACACCUGGAAAGUGUGAGGGUUAGGCUGAUUGCCAAGGAUAUUAUUGACUCUUUGAACAGAGGGUUGAGGCAUGAUCAGGAGUGGACUGACAUGGGGGAUGCAUCGGUGGAGGUCGACUGGAAUUCGAAGGCCGGGGGAGUAAGACUGUGCAAUCAUUGAUGGAGGGUGAGAAGGGGAAAAUGGAGGGGAAUUGGUCACGUGAGGAUGAGAUUCUUGAUGAUAAGUGGAUUGAGCAUAGUAGGAAGAAGGGUAAGGAUAGUGGUGUUAAGGAUGCCACUUCGCAUUUGGUUGAUUUGGAUUGGAAGAUUUUGGCGGUGGAUGAGCCGAAUGUCAAUGUGUUUUGCUUGCUGGGUGGGAAGAUUGUGGUCUUCAUAGGGUUGCUCAAGCAAUUUAGAAGUGAUAUAUGCCGAUAUAGCUAUGAUAAUUGGUCAUGAGGUUGGGCAUGCCGUAGCUUGACACUAUCAAGAGGGCAUCACAAAAAGCCUGUGGGUUGCAAUCUUGCAACUGGUUCUUUAUAAGCUUAUUUCACCUGAUUUUGUCAACCCAUUAUCCAAUCUUUUCUUAAGGCUUCUUUUUUCCCGAAGGUACGUUACUGUUGAUUAUCAUUUGCUUAUGGAUAAAGGAUUAUGUGCUUUAUGACUCUUCUUAGUGUUGGUUCAUUUUGAUAGAGGAAGAUGCACACUGUAAAUGGUUGCAUAUGGCUUCUUGUUUUGUAGUAAGGUUACUUUGAUGAUCAGUAUACUAGGACUUAACCGGAGCAUACGUGCAGUACUUAUUGACUGGCUUGUGGAGGUGAUUGAUCUUUGUUGAUAGCUUGAUGAGGUACUGUGUAAAGAGAAACUGAAGUUGAAUUCUGAUUGUAAUUUACGUGGCUCGACUUCUUCUCCCUUUAAGAUCAGGUUGCUGAAAGUGCUAUUAACUUUGACUGGGGUUUCUGUUCCAUUAGAAGCUCUUCAACCUCUUUGGACCUCCAUGAACCGUAAAUCUUGGGGUAGAAAGUUACAUUCCUCGUCAUCAGCUGAAGACCUUCUCCAGGUUCUGGCAUCGCUGGAAGGUGCCAUAAAGAUAGAAUAUUUAUCUUCAAACUUUGAGACUACCGGUGAGCUGCUAUAUUCCUCAAAUGAAAAAGGACGUACGUGUUACUAGCAAUUUUUCUUUUCCUGAUAGCGUUGUUGUGCUUCCAUGGAUACCACUUACAAUAGUUGCUGUGGCUCUUAUGCUCAUGGAGUUUGAUAUAUGUGGCCAUCGUAAACAUGCUACAGAAGAAGUUGGAGACUCAGAAGAACAAGGAAUCUGAGAAUUUUAUAAAAAUAUGAGGAGAUCUGUGCACCCCUGGUUGAAGAAUUUUGUUACAUUACUUAUAGGGUCCCUUAUUGAUAACUCAUGUUUUAAGGAAAGAGUGGGCAGUAAAGACGCUCAAAUCAUAUAGCCAAAAUGAUAUUGACAAGGUGUGCAUUGAAGCGGCUGAUUAUAUACAGAGAUUGGUGUAAGACUUUUGGCUUCCAUGAUUUUGAGUAAGGCUAGUUUUUGCUUUGAAGCAAGUUUGGUGUAGAACGUACUUUUGUAGUUGGUUGCUACUAUGUUUCUAAGCUAGCCUUUGUAGGUUUUGGGUUUUAUUUUGUGAAUUAUAUUGAAUCAUGAAUUUGGAAAGAAAAUUAAUGGAAAGCUCCAAUUUUUGGGUGAUGAGAAAUGUAUUUCUUUUUCCAGCAACUAGAUGA
Molecule: long non-coding RNA, 2228 nt
Organism: Rosa chinensis
Lineage: Eukaryota; Viridiplantae; Streptophyta; Magnoliopsida; Rosales; Rosaceae
Exons: 8
Source: RefSeq, a predicted model, not a curated record